GAAACAAUACGCGUGAGUAACAACAUACAACAUCAAUUGCACCCGAACCCGUCAACUCCGAUCCAACCCUCGAAUCAGCGAAAAUCCCCAACCAAAUCGAUCCGAACCAGUUCUCACAACGGCGAAACCCGACCCAGGCCCAUUCCGUUUUCACCUUUUUCACGCGUUUCACGCGAUCCCGUACGAGAAAACCCUCAAAUCUUCUAGAAACAAGGAUAGGUGUCUUCUCCAACGUUCAAAUUCCGUGAAUUUCAGGAUUAUUGGUAUGAUUUCGUAUGUAUGCGGCUGGUUUCCAUUAUUUUGAGGUAAUAUUCCGUUUUCCCCAAUUUUGAUUGGUCCACCCAUUCGAAUUUAUCCGAGGAAAGCGCCAAAAUCCGUACGAGUUGUUGGUGUAAAACGUUGUCUUGAGUUCAAAUUUCAAAAAUAUCUCCAUGGAAAAUUCCAAAUAUACUCCUCUAUUCUCAACGUUUACUGAUCAGUUGAGCUCCAAUGGAGCCAUUCUUGGAUCCUCUAUAAAUAGCUCUCUUGAGAGCAGAGAAAAGAAAAGAGGGAAAUCCUGGGGUUCGAAAAUUGGGUUGGGAAAUUCUGAAGGCUAGGAAUUCUAGGGUGAGGAAAUUCAAGAAAGGAAAUUUUGGUUCAAAAAAGAAAAAAAACAAAAGAAAGAAAGAAUUUUUGAAGAAAAAUCAGGUCUUUAGCAGAGAUCCUGUUCUUGUUUUGAAAGUUCAUUGAUUAAAUUCGAGUUUCGAAUUGACGGUGAAGGAGUGUUCUGGUGGUCGUGAUUCUCCGUAGCUAGUUCGUCGUCUCGGUUUGCUGCUCCAAAAAAGGUAACAUCCCAUUUUAUUUAUCUUUCAAUUACUUCUUCAUCUCCCCAUUCUGUAGUCGUUUAGUGUUUCAUUUUUGAUGUAGUAUGCUGGGAUUAGCUGCUGUAGAGGUCUUGUAAGACCAUAGGACAUGCUUGCUGAAGAUAAUGCCUGUCAUGUGAUUAUGUUUGAUGUAAAACUGUCGGAUUAGUCGUUAAAGCUUUUGGUCUGAGUCUCAUUUGCCAUCUCGAUUUUAUAACCUGCUAUAUGAUUUUAACAUUUGCUAAUCAGUUUCCAAUCUUUUAUUUUGCAUUGGUAUUGCUUGUGAGUUUGAUUCAUUGAUUUCCAUCGAGAUUCCUAUUUUGAUUUUUAGCUUCAACGGCUAGCCGAAUGUUGUCUUUGUUUGAAUCGUUAGUUCCUGUUUAUUUAGUAAUAUCAUUGGCAGGACCACUUUGUGUGUUCCUCUGACUUUCAAAUGUCAAAGAGAAUAACCAAACAUGUGUCCAAUAAUGAAAGGUCGUCAGAAAAUCCUAGGAUCCAUCGACGACCAUUUCGUUUGAGUCCAUCGAGAUAAGGAGGAGGAUAAAGGAUAUUGUAUCCCGUUGGCUCCCUUUUCUAGCCUAUUAGUUGUGUUCCUUUUUAGUGGAAUUUUGAAUUCUGCUUUUCUGCCGUGGGUUUAUUCCAAGCCAGUAUUCUUGUUGGUUUAAAAUCCCUGGAGAAUGUAAUGGUUUCGUUGAAGAAUACUGUACAUAAGAAUGGAUUUGGUCACGUGGAUGUCCUUGAUGUCCAAAGCCAUUGCUGUGUUUAUAUUUUCUCUCAAGGAGGGUCUAAAACCCUUGAGGUUUUGUAAGGUCAUAUUUGGAGGAUAACCGUUUUCAACUUUUAGGCUUGUUGUUCUGAAUAUGGGAAAUUUCGGAGGCUGCUUUGCACUCUCGCGACUUUCAGAAGCCUGAAAUUUUCUUCGGAGUAAAAAGGGGAAUUUCGGGGUUUUAUUUUUAUUCUUGAGUUCUCUUCUGUCUGUUUUAUGCAUUCUUUUCAUUUAUUUAACGCAACUCGCAAGGUCUUUUUAAUUCGGCGAUAUUGAAGAGACCUGAAAGUUUGCCAUAGAUCCAUAAUAAUGAUCCCAGGAAUCUCUAAUAAGCUUUGGCUUAUAUCCUUGCACUACCGGAUGAGGAGAGGAGGAUCUGUUCGAGUUUAUUAGCCUAAUUGAAUGACUUUAGAUUAUCACAGGGAUUGUUCCUCGUCACUUGGAUAGGUUUAAAGGUUCUGUUCAGUGGCUAUGGUGUUUUUUAGAUUGCGCUACCUCCUCCCUUUUCUCUAUUUGUUUUCCUUUGGAGGGUCUUGUUGUUCUUGCUUCCAUGUUCAUUCCAGCUUUCCUUGUUUUUCUUUUUUGGUUGGGGUCUUCUACAACAUGAAAGGAAGUAGGCUUUUGGCUGAGGUAAAGUUUCUUCAUAGCUUAAUGGACCCGUGCGAACGUAAAGCUCGAUGCGACUACUAGAAUUAUCGCUUGCGUUUGAGUUAAUCUGAAAAAUUAUGUAUUACUUGAUUGAACAAUUAUGAUGGAUUUAGUAUGCUAUAACUUAGAGUUGAGUAGUGCAUGCUUUACGUACAACUCCGCACUUUAAGAUUAACCUAGAUGGUUGUACUUUAAGAUUAACCUUUAUUCCAUCUGUCUAAUUGUAACUUCGACGAUCGUUGAUGAUAUCUCUAAAAGAUAGACAGAGCAUUCUUAAAAUUUGAACCCCAAAACCCUUUCUCAUUGUUUUUCCUGAAUAUGAUAAUGAAUGAAUUCUCUCAUGUAUUCUGUUAACCAAUAGGACCACCUUGAACAUGAAUUUAAGGUUUCUGAUUGCUAUUUGCGGCUUAUUAUGAUGUAUGAUUAAUUAUACUAAGUUCAAACGGUCCAACGCAGAGUCUUAAUCUUUUUCUCCUUUAUUUUUGGAUGCAUGUGAAUGUGUUAUGUCUGAGUUAACCAUGAACUCUUGAUUGCAUUUUUCUCAUCAAGUCAACUCCUAGAAGAAGUCCCAACAUCGAUCUCAUGACAUACCGAAAACAACGAGUCGAAAGAGAAGAAAAUGGGGUGAAAGUUCCAUCUUUGAAGCGGCGAAGGAGGCUUGAAAGUCUCACUGUUUUGUUUAUCCAUUGUUGUCAUUAUUUAUUUAUUUAUAAUUUUAUUUAUUUAUUUAGUUACUUAUUUAUUUAUUCAUUCGGGCCUCGAAGCUAAAGUUGUAAAUUUAAUACAGGUGGAG
Molecule: long non-coding RNA, 3049 nt
Filed under: Capsicum annuum
Lineage: Eukaryota; Viridiplantae; Streptophyta; Magnoliopsida; Solanales; Solanaceae
Description: long non-coding RNA (CANN_LNC009321)
Source: RNAcentral